This 277-nucleotide long non-coding RNA is filed under the name Ursus americanus (American black bear). Its description in RNAcentral is "lncRNA (ENSUAMG00000002607.1)". The record is from RNAcentral. Lineage: Eukaryota; Metazoa; Chordata; Mammalia; Carnivora; Ursidae.
CCCCGGGGGUGCCGAAGUGCGGCCGGGGAGGUCGGCGCGUCCGGACUCUCAGGGCAGAGUGUUCUGAAGAGCCUGACACGCAUUCACGGUUCUCAUUAAAGAAGCUUCAUGUAAGUGCCAAUGGACACCUGAUCCCCUGCUGCCUUUGUUUGAAAACAAAGAAGUUUUGUUGUGCUGAUUUAACUGCCUACAAUCUUUGCUGAUGCUAUCCUAAAAAAAAUGCUGAUUCUGUCCUUUUUAACCCCUGUGUGAAACUGACUUUUAACAUACUUGUGCA